CUAGUACUCCCUUUGUCCGGAAAUACUUGUCCUAGAAAUGGAUAAAAUGGAUGUAUCUAUAACUAAAAUUAGUCUAGAUACAACCAUUCUGGGGACAAGUAUUUCCGGAUGGAUGGAGUAUAUA
Non-coding RNA from Triticum aestivum (bread wheat), 124 nucleotides. NCBI's taxonomy places the organism in Eukaryota, Viridiplantae, Streptophyta, Magnoliopsida, Poales, Poaceae. The record is from Rfam.